Non-coding RNA from Chelonia mydas (Green sea turtle), 45 nucleotides. NCBI's taxonomy places the organism in Eukaryota, Metazoa, Chordata, Testudines, Cheloniidae. The record is from Rfam.
CCAAAGGCUCUUUUAAGAGCCAUCCACUUUAUCAUCCAAAGAGCU